RNAcentral lists this ribosomal RNA (600 nucleotides) under uncultured bacterium. RNAcentral describes it as "bacterial SSU rRNA". It matches the Rfam family "Bacterial small subunit ribosomal RNA", at positions 731 to 1330 of the family's 1533-position model. The record is from RNAcentral.
GGAACGCAACUGACGCUGAGGCGCGAAAGCCGGGGGAGCAAACAGGAUUAGAUACCCUGGUAGUCCCGGCCUUAAACGGUGCACGCUCGGGGUGGGGGGACUUCAACCCCCCCGUCCCCAAGCUAACGCGUUAAGCGUGCCGCCUGGGGAGUACGGCCGCAAGGCUAAAACUCAAAGAAAUUGACGGGGGCCCGCACAAGCAGAGGAGCAUGUGGCUUAAUUCGAUGCAACGCGAAGAACCUUACCUGGGCUUGACAUGCAGCUGCACGCCCCGUGAAAGCGGGGCUCCUCCGAGGGUGCUGCACAGGUGCUGCAUGGCUGUCGUCAGUUCGUGCCGUGAGGUGUUUGGUUAAGUCCACCAACGAACGCAACCCCUUUGAGCAGUUGCCAGCGGGCAAAGCCGGGAACUCUGCUCACACUGCCUUGCUUACGCAGGAGGAAGGUGGGGACGACGUCAAGUCAGUAUGGCCCUUACGCCCAGGGCCGCACACGUGCUACAAUGGCCGGUACAGAGGGAGCCGACGCCGCGAGGCGGAGGAAACCCCCCAGAGCCGGCCCCAGUUCGGAUCGGGGGCUGCAACCCGACCCCGUGAAGUCGGA